CACACCGCCCGUCACACCAUGGGAGUCAGUUGCUCCAGAAGUGCUUGCGCUAACCGUAAGGAGGCAGGGCACCAAGGAGUGGUUGGUAACUGGGGUG
Molecule: ribosomal RNA, 97 nt
Filed under: uncultured bacterium
Lineage: Bacteria
Description: partial 16S ribosomal RNA
Rfam family: Bacterial small subunit ribosomal RNA
Source: RNAcentral